UACGGAGGGUGCAAGCGUUGUCCGGAUUUAUUGGGUUUAAAGGGUGCGUAGGCGGCCCCUUAAGUCAGCGGUGAAAGCCCGGGGCUCAACCCCGGAACCGCCGUUGAUACUGGGGGGCUUGAGUAUGGACGAGGUUGGCGGAAUUGAGGGUGUAGCGGUGAAAUGCUUAGAUACCCUCAAGAACACCGAUUGCGUAGGCAGCUCGCUAGGCCGAAACUGACGCUGAGGCACGAAAGCGUGGGGAGCGAACAGG
Molecule: ribosomal RNA, 253 nt
Filed under: uncultured bacterium
Lineage: Bacteria
Description: partial 16S ribosomal RNA
Rfam family: Bacterial small subunit ribosomal RNA
Source: RNAcentral